Triticum urartu is the source of this 135-nucleotide non-coding RNA. Lineage: Eukaryota; Viridiplantae; Streptophyta; Magnoliopsida; Poales; Poaceae. The record is from Rfam.
AACAUACUCCCUCCGUUCCGAAUUAUUUGUCUUAGAUUUGUAUAGAUAUAAAAAUAUUUAGCACUAAAAUGAGUCUAGAUACAUCCGUAUCUAGACAAAUUCAAGACAACUAAUUCAGAACGGAGGGAGUACAUG